GAAAAAAAUUAGCAGUGUAAAUAGCACAAACAAAUGGAUCAAGUGUGCAAUUAUGAAUUUUGAUUCCACAACUUUUCGCGCGUUGUCUCGUGGCAGAAUUCUGGAGCUACUGCUACUCUCCUCUCUUCUAUCGGCUUGUCCAUAAAUACGCAAGGACCAUUGACUCUUCUUAUCACCUUCGCCAACCCAACACAACACACAGACAGAUGUUCAACUCAGACGCAGAAAACUGAAACGGCGCGCGGUUCAAGGAUAUCUCAGUUUUACCUGCUCAACCUUAACUAACUACCCAUCGCCUCGUUUUUUCAGUUUUUCUCUUUCCAAACAUGACCUCUGCAACCUUCAAAAUCGUACUAAAUUUCUUUCCAUUCCCAAAUCACAAUAAUUCUAACCCUAAUAAGAGCUGCAAAAUGAAAUCCUCUCUACUCUGUAACCACAAAUACAGCUCUAUUUUAAAUCUAAAUCCCUCAAUUCUGAAAUUGAAUAGUAGAAGGAAUGACUUGUCAGUUUCUUCUUUUGCGGAUACCGAGAAACCUGUGGGGUUCACCAACGCCAAGGAUAGGCUUCAACGGCUCGUUUCAGAAUUUAGGUCUCUAACGGAGCCGAUUGAUCGUGUUAAACGGCUUUUGGAUUACGCGGCUCGGCUCCCGCCAUUUGAUGAGUCGGCUCGCUCUCCCGGAAACCGAGUUAUGGGUUGUACGACUCAGGUUUGGCUUGAAGCAAAAAUGGACGAGAAAGGGAGAAUGAGAUUUAGAGCGGAUAGUGACUCGGAGAUUACUAAAGGUUUCAUUUCGUGUUUGAUUUCGUUGCUUGAUGGCGCGGAGCCCGAUGAAGUGGUUGCGGUAAAGGCGGAGGACCUGGCGGCAUUGAAUGUUGGCCUCUAUGGUAAAGCCCAAUCGAGAGUGAACACGUGGCAUAAUGUGUUGAUCAGUAUGCAGAGUAGGACCGAGGCUUUGGCUGCGGAGCGAAAUGAGAAGUGUCCAGUGGAGCCGCUUCCGUCUUUGGUUGUUAACGUCGACGGUAUCAGUGCUCAGGUCCGCAAAGAGGUGGAAAUGGGAAGUAGAGCCUAGGCAUGGGGAAGCGUGCAGCCUAGAACAAAUAUGGGUUUCUUGAAUCUGGGAUGGAGGAUCAUGGAUGCAGUGUGCAUGGCCUCUCUGGUUUUAAAUUUCCGGGAUAGAUAAAUCCUGUUGCUAAUUUCCUUCAGCAAUGGAAACAAAAACAAAAGCAAUGGACCAAAAGUGGCUUCCACCCAAAUAUAUUUCCUCAGGAAAAAGUUCGAGAGCUCUAGAUGGAAACCCUAACAAUUACCUUCAAGUUGUGUUGGAAACCAAGCAUGGUAAUUUCAAUUGUUAUAGCAUCUGACAGAUUGUUAAAUUCCUUCAAACCCUGUUCCAGGACAGAAAAUAUCAACAUUAUGCUACCUUUCAGUUUCACAAGAUACUGUAUCAAUGAUAUCAAGGAACCUUCCAGGGGACUAAAUACAAGUGGGAUGGGUGAUCUUUUGUGGUACCAAGGGGCAAGGUGCUCCAUCCAUGAAGACUUUGUGUACUGUCCUUUUAAUGUUGGUAUAUAUCUUUUAUGUUUCGUUGGAAAAGGAAAAAAAAAAUUGUUACAUCAAACAUUAUGCACGCAUGAGUUGUUAAUUGUGGCAUUGAAUUUGGAAUAUGCAGUGAAACAUGUCUUUGAUAGUGAUAA
RNA transcript from Jatropha curcas, 1695 nucleotides. It is a transcript of the gene named sulfur E2, with no coding region annotated. Lineage: Eukaryota; Viridiplantae; Streptophyta; Magnoliopsida; Malpighiales; Euphorbiaceae. The record is from RefSeq and is a predicted model, not a curated record.